Molecule: long non-coding RNA, 326 nt
Filed under: Trifolium pratense (red clover)
Lineage: Eukaryota; Viridiplantae; Streptophyta; Magnoliopsida; Fabales; Fabaceae
Description: long non-coding RNA (TPRA_LNC011726)
Source: RNAcentral
CUUUAACUCAGCAGCCACAUCCUCAACCAGGGGCACUUCCGCAUCAACAAUAUCAGCAGGCCCCUCAUCCUCAGUACUCUCAGCCAUCACCACAUCUACCUCAACAACAGCCACCACAUUCAUCCGGACCUCAUCUACCUCAACAACAGCCACCGCAUUCAUCCGGACCUCAUCUACCUCAGCAACAGCCACCACAUUCAUCCGGAAAUCCACCUCAAAUGCAACCUUCACUAGGUCACCAUCUAGAGGAACCACCUUAUGUUCCUUCUCAGAAUUAUCCUCCCAAUCUCCGCCAGCCACCAUCUCAGUCACCCAGUGGACCUCCU